Molecule: long non-coding RNA, 517 nt
Organism: Dendrobium catenatum
Lineage: Eukaryota; Viridiplantae; Streptophyta; Magnoliopsida; Asparagales; Orchidaceae
Exons: 2
Source: RefSeq, a predicted model, not a curated record
UAUAAGUUUUUUUUUUUACUGAGAGAUCGAGUGCUUUAGCUGAACAAGUUAAGUUUGUGCUGGAGGAAUACCCAAAGUUUAAGCUUACUUUAGGAAGAAAGGUGUAAAAUUUAUAAAUUGAAUCAUUUUGUUACAUUUUUUGUACUUAAAUUUUUUCAAUUCAUCUUGUCUUAUAACAUGAAUUUUACUUGAUAUCUGCUGCUAUUUUGCCUUCAGGUAUUAGAGAUUCGCCCAACUAUCAAAUGGGACAAAGAAAAGGCCUUGGAGUUCCCGUUGCUCAGAUGAAAGUUUUUUGGGAAAAAUAACUUCAAAUCUAAUGGGAUCAAAGUACCAAAUAUGGUAGCAGAUUCACUUUUCACUCUCUUUUACACUUUCUGCUGAAGAAAACUCUCUUCAGUUUUAAUGUGCGAGUUUUCAACUAAGUCAUUCGUGUUUGCAUGGAAGGAAACUUGAUUCCAUGAAAUCUCAAUCUUGUCUCAUGGGUGUUGCUGCGUAAGAAAAUUGCUUUACAUUUGAA